CACCGAGAAGGGCAAACCGUUCGAAAGGGCGGGGCGCAAAGUCAUGGGCCUAAGGCGGGAUCUAAGCUAAGGCUGCCAGGCUGCCGGU
Molecule: non-coding RNA, 88 nt
Filed under: Thermanaeromonas toyohensis
Lineage: Bacteria; Bacillati; Bacillota; Clostridia; Neomoorellales; Neomoorellaceae
Description: c-di-GMP sequence
Rfam family: c-di-GMP-I riboswitch aptamer
About the family: GEMM was predicted in a large-scale screen for bacterial structured RNA regulatory elements. Genes associated with GEMM are involved in a diverse array of functions, including chemotaxis regulation, signal transduction, secretion and chitin.
Source: RNAcentral